GGCAGCGGUCCAAGUUCCUUGGAACAGGACGUCACAGAGGGUGAGAAUCCCGUACGUGGUCGCUGGCUAUUGCCGUGUAAAGCCCCUUCGACGAGUCGAGUUGUUUGGGAAUGCAGCUCUAAAUGGGAGGUACAUUUCUUCUAAAGCUAAAUAUUGGCCAGAGACCGAUAGCGCACAAGUAGAGUGAUCGAAAGAUGAAAAGCACUUUGAAAAGAGGGUUAAAUAGCACGUGAAAUUGUUGAAAGGGAAGCGCUUGCAGCCAGACUUGCUUGC
Molecule: ribosomal RNA, 273 nt
Filed under: Thalassiosira rotula
Lineage: Eukaryota; Bacillariophyta; Thalassiosirophyceae; Thalassiosirales; Thalassiosiraceae
Description: partial Eukaryotic large subunit ribosomal RNA
Rfam family: Eukaryotic large subunit ribosomal RNA
Source: RNAcentral